GGGAGUGUAGUUUAGUGGUAGAACACUUGCCCAGCAUGUAUAAGGCCCUGGGUUCAAUUCCCAGUACCCCUA
RNAcentral lists this transfer RNA (72 nucleotides) under Fukomys damarensis (Damara mole-rat). It matches the Rfam family "tRNA". Rfam says of the family: Transfer RNA (tRNA) molecules are approximately 80 nucleotides in length. Their secondary structure includes four short double-helical elements and three loops (D, anti-codon, and T loops). Lineage: Eukaryota; Metazoa; Chordata; Mammalia; Rodentia; Bathyergidae. The record is from Rfam by way of RNAcentral.